UACGUAAGGUGCGAGCGUUGUCCGGAAUUAUUGGGCGUAAAGAGCUUGUAGGCGGUUUGUCGCGUCUGCUGUGAAAUCUCAAGGCUCAACCUUGAGCUUGCAGUGGGUACGGGCAGACUAGAGUGUGGUAGGGGAGACUGGAAUUCCUGGUGUAGCGGUGAAAUGCGCAGAUAUCAGGAGGAACACCGAUGGCGAAGGCAGGUCUCUGGGCCACUACUGACGCUGAGAAGCGAAAGCAUGGGGAGCGAACAGG
RNAcentral lists this ribosomal RNA (253 nucleotides) under uncultured bacterium. RNAcentral describes it as "partial 16S ribosomal RNA". It matches the Rfam family "Bacterial small subunit ribosomal RNA", at positions 524 to 776 of the family's 1533-position model. The record is from RNAcentral.